RNAcentral lists this transfer RNA (89 nucleotides) under Deltaproteobacteria bacterium RIFCSPLOWO2_02_FULL_46_8. Its description in RNAcentral is "tRNA-Leu". It matches the Rfam family "tRNA". From Rfam's summary of the family: Transfer RNA (tRNA) molecules are approximately 80 nucleotides in length. Their secondary structure includes four short double-helical elements and three loops (D, anti-codon, and T loops). The record is from RNAcentral. Lineage: Bacteria; Deltaproteobacteria.
GCCCGGGUGGCGGAACAGGCAGACGCACAGGACUUAAAAUCCUGAGUUCCGAAAGGGACGUGCCGGUUCAAUUCCGGCCCCGGGCACCA